CGAUAGGACUUGGCUCUGCCUGGCCACUCCUCCUCCAAUGGGGGAAUUCCUGGGCUUGCCUCUGUCUUGGCUCCAGCUCAGGUGUCAGUCUCAGCCCUGUCCCAGCCAGGAACAAUGGGCCAGGCAGGGCCAGUCACCCCCUGUCCCUGGGGGCUCCACCCACGGCCCUGGACUAUUUUCAGCCCUUGCAGAUGGAGUCAGAAGAGGAUUUUCCACUCCCAGUACAAUGACUGCCCUGGACCAUUGUCCAGCAGUGACGCGGGGGACCUGCCUGCCCCAAAAUAUCUCCUGCCCCUAGUUUCCAAGCCUCUUUGCCCUGCUCCUCACCUCCUGGCCCUGCUCCUUACCUCCCCACCCUGAUGUCAUUUCCUGGGGCUCUUAACUCCUGAAGGCCAUUGUGAAACAUCACGUGAGACUCCUGGGAGACACAACCAGUUGGAAUGAGUUUUCCCUCCUGGCAGGGACCCCAGGGAUUGUUUGGCUGCUUAGUGGGACUGGUGGCCCAGAGAGGGCUGUGCCUUACCCAGUCACACAGCAGUCAGUGUGAAGCUUAGGUGUAAGCCCAGGGCUCUUUGGCUGCUCCCACUGCCUCAGCCAACUUCAUUAGCUCCAGUCUGUGGCUCCUGGACUGGAGCUACAGUGGUGAGAGCUCACCACUGAGCUUCCUGGGAUGGGCACCUGGGAUAGCAGCCCAAGUGGUGUGGGUGGAGAGGUGCAGCUCAUGCUCUGACCUUGGAGUGAGCCCAGUGCAGGGGCCUGACCUUAAACCCUUUCUCCCCACUGAGUCCCAUUUUUACCAAAUGUGGCUGUUAGGAACUGAAUGUUUGUGUCCCCCGCCCCACAAAUCCAUAUGUCAAAAUCCCAACUGCCAAGGUGAUGGUAUUAGAAGGUGGGGCCUUUGGGAAGUAACCAGGUCCUAAGGGUGCAGCCCUCAUGAAUGGGUUUAGUGCCCUUACAGAAUGGACCCCAGAGAGCUCCUCACCCUCUUUCCACCAUGUGAGGAUAUAAUGAGAAGUUGGCAGUCUGCAACCUGGAAGAGGUCCCUCACCAGAUCCCAACCAUGCUGGCACCCCGAUCUUAGACUUCCAGUCUUCAGAAUGGUGAGAAAUAAAUGUCUCUUGUUUCUAAUCCACCCAGUCGGUGGCAUUUUGUUAUAGCAGCCCACGCUGACUGUGACUGAACUCAGGGUGACAGAGCAGCAGCUCUGGGGCAAAGGGGAGGGUGGGGGCCACAGGGCAGCUGAUGCAGGAGCAGGGCUCUGGCACAGUUCAGCCAUCACCAAUUCUGGGACUGCAAAUUCAGUUUCUUCAUCUGGAAAAUUGAACUGGUAAUACCAAUACCUCUUUUCCCGGUUUACUAGACAGAGACAAUGCAGUGAGGCACAAACAUGCAACUGUUUGAUUUUCCUCCCACCCAUGCUCCCUGCUCAGUGACGUGUGAUUUUCCUUUCCCAUCCAUAAACUGCGCAUUUGGCAAACUCCAAACUUUUGAGUCACUUUUGGGUAACAAAGUCAGGUUUAAGAUUUCCAUCGCCUGCUUAAUUGAAUGCUCACCUGUCCUCUUCCCCCAUGCUGUGAGGACCUUCAUCACUCCUCUUCUGGGUCCCUCUCUCCUCUAGGUGUUGGGGCAGGGUGGGGAGGAAAGGGACCAAUGUGUCUUUCCUGGUGAUGCUACAGCCCUCUCUUGCUGACCUUGCUUCCUGGGCCAUCAGUGCCCCCUGCACAGAACUCUCCAAACAUCAGUCCACACCUUUGUAAAAACAGUCUCUCCGCUAAGCUAUCCCAAAAUGACCUGAUUAGAGUGUGCAACGUCUUUCCUGCUGGGACUCUGACUGAUACCCUGGUCUCCCUGAGUGAUUUUCCUGCACACCCUGCUGGGGAUGUGGAAGCCUGUCCCCCUCCCACCCCACACCCCACACUUGGCUGAGAUCUCACAGUGGCAAAGAUGUCUUUGAAUCCAUGGUGCCCAGGGUUCAGCGUGUAGAGUGAGGUGGGGUGUGUAGAGAGCUGGGGCAAGGAACCCUGAGAAGAUGUCUUACCCCAGUUGUUUCCAGGUUUCUUUAGAAAGCGGGCUAUUUUACCCCAUGUGUCCUCAGAUUUAUGUCCUGGAACCAAAUUCCAAAUCAGCAGCCACAUGAAAAGUCCCCUCCUCUCUGGCGUGGAAUUAAACUGUUAGACCUGCCUUUGUGACCAAAGCAAUUGUAAAACGUGGGGGAGGAAAUUAAAAGCCUGCCACCUUAGUCCA
This 2244-nucleotide long non-coding RNA is filed under the name Homo sapiens (human). Its description in RNAcentral is "non-protein coding lnc-P2RY2-1:2". The record is from RNAcentral. Lineage: Eukaryota; Metazoa; Chordata; Mammalia; Primates; Hominidae.